CCUACGGGCGGCAGCAGUAGGGAAUAUUGCGCAAUGGGGGAAACCCUGAAGCAGCAACGCCGCGUGGAGGAUGAAGGUUUUCGGAUUGUAAACUCCUUUCGUUAGAGAAGAAAAUGACGGUAUCUAACGAAUAAGCACCGGCUAACUCCGUGCCAGCAGCCGCGGUAAUACGGAGGGUGCAAGCGUUAAUCGGAAUCACUGGGCGUAAAGCGCGCGUAGGCGGGAUAGCAAGUCAGAUGUGAAAUCCUAUGGCUUAACCAUAGAACUGCUUUUGAAACUGUUAUUCUAGAGUAUGGGAGAGGUAGGUGGAAUUCUUGGUGUAGGGGUGAAAUCCGUAGAGAGCAAGAGGAAUACUCAUUGCGAAGGCGACCUGCUAGAACAUAACUGACGCUGAUGCGCGAAAGCGUGGGGAGCAAACAGGAUUAGAUACCCGAGUAGUC
RNAcentral lists this ribosomal RNA (440 nucleotides) under uncultured bacterium. RNAcentral's name for it is "partial 16S ribosomal RNA". It matches the Rfam family "Bacterial small subunit ribosomal RNA", at positions 338 to 795 of the family's 1533-position model. The record is from RNAcentral.